This 467-nucleotide ribosomal RNA is filed under the name uncultured bacterium. RNAcentral's name for it is "partial 16S ribosomal RNA". It matches the Rfam family "Bacterial small subunit ribosomal RNA", at positions 28 to 506 of the family's 1533-position model. The record is from RNAcentral.
GACGAACGCUGGCGGCGUGCUUAACACAUGCAAGUCGAACGGAAAGGCCCUGCUUUUGUGGGGUGCUCGAGUGGCGAACGGGUGAGUAACACGUGAGUAACCUGCCCUUGACUUUGGGAUAACUUCAGGAAACUGGGGCUAAUACCGGAUAGGAGCUCCUGCUGCAUGGUGGGGGUUGGAAAGUUUCGGCGGUUGGGGAUGGACUCGCGGCUUAUCAGCUUGUUGGUGGGGUAGUGGCUUACCAAGGCUUUGACGGGUAGCCGGCCUGGGAGGGUGACCGGCCACAUGGGGACUGAGAUGCGGCCCAGACUCCUACGGGAGGCAGCAGUGGGGAAUAUUGCACAAUGGGCGGAAGCAGGAUGCAGCAACGCCGCGUGGGGGAUGACGGCCUUCGGGUUGUAAACCGCUUUCGCCUGUGACGAAGCGUGAGUGACGGUAAUGGGUAAAGAAGCACCGGCUAACUACGU